Molecule: long non-coding RNA, 1934 nt
Organism: Oncorhynchus keta (chum salmon)
Lineage: Eukaryota; Metazoa; Chordata; Actinopteri; Salmoniformes; Salmonidae
Exons: 3
Source: RefSeq, a predicted model, not a curated record
ACUAGUAACCAGCAGGCAGUCUAGUGGUUAGAACAUUGGACUAGUAACCAGCAGGGUAGCCUAGUGGUUAGAGCAUUGGGCCAGUAACCAGCAGGUUACCUAGUGGUUAGAGUGUUGGACUAGUUACCAGCAGGUAGCCUAGUGGUUAGAGUGUUGGACUAGUUACCAGCAGGUAGCCUAGUGGUUAGAGUGUUGGACUAGUUACCAGCAGGUAGCCUAGUGGUUAGAGUGUUGGACUAGUUACCAGCAGGUAGCCUAGUGGUUAGAGCAUUGGGCCAGUAACCAGCAGGUAACCUAGUGGUUAGAACAUUGGACUAGUAACCAGCAGGCAGUCUAGUGGUUAUAGUGUUGGACUAGUUACCAGCAGGUAGCCUAGUGGUUAGAACAUUGGACUAGUAACCAGCAGGUAGUCUAGUGGUUAGAACAUUGGACUAGUAACCAGCAGGGUAGCCUAGUGGUUAGAGCACUGGGCCAGUAACCAGCAGGUUACCUAGUGGUUAGAGUGUUGGACUAGUUACCAGCAGGUAGCCUAGUGGUUAGAGUGUUGGACUAGUAACCAGCAGGUAGCCUAGUGGUUGGAACAUUGUACUAGUAACCAGCAGGUAGCCUAGUGGUUAGAACAUUGGACUAGUAACCAGCAGGUAGUCUAGUGGUUAGAUUGUUGGACUAGUUACCAGCAGGUAGCCUAGUGGUUAGAGUGUUGGACUAGUUACCAGCAGGUAGCCUAGUGGUUAGAGUGUUGGACUAGUUACCAGCAGGCAGUCUAGUGGUUAUAGUGUUGGACUAGUUACCAGCAGGUAGCCUAGUGGUUAGAACAUUGGACUAGUAACCAGCAGGUAGUCUAGUUGUUAGAGUGUUGGACUAGUAACCAGAAGGUAGCCUAGUUGUUAGAGCGUUGGACCAGUAACCAGCAGGUAGCCUCGUGGUUAGAGUGUUGGACUAGUAACCAGCAGGCAGCCUAGUGGUUAGAGUGUUGGACUAGUAACCAGCAGGUAGUCUAGUGGUUAGAGUGUCGGACUAGUAACCAGCAGGUAGCCUAGUGAUUAGAACAUUGGACUAGUAACCGAAAGGUUGCUGGAUCGAAUCGCCGAGCUGACAAGGUAAAAAUCUGUUGUUCUGCCCCUCUGAACAAGGCAGUUCACCCACUGUUCCCUGGUAGGCCGUCAUUAUGAAUAAGAAUUUGUCCUUAACUGAAUUGCCUAGUUAAAUAAAUGUUUUAAAAAAUCAGAGAUGAACAUACAUAGUUAUUACCAUAGACUCUCUCCAUAGUCUCUUUUUAUAGGUGGCAGAAGUUCAUCCUGUAGGUAUCACAAUUAACCAAAUCUUUCAUUCUUACCCUGAUACCUCAUACAUCUUAACAGCUACCAUAGUGCUAUUAUUAAGGGGGAAUCAAUCCUCUAGGGUAAUCAAAUAUCUAGGGUGCAUACCGUGUCCCAGACCUUCACUAGUCAAUACACCGCGGACCACAACGAGCCAUAAGUCGGAAAGCAAAUUGUUGUUUGUGUUUUAUGUAAAUUCUAGUCAUCUCAAUGUGCGUGGUGAUAAGAUACUCUAGUCCUCUGCAAAUAGAACGUCGGAUAAGAAGCUUCCUUCCUCCCAGGAAUGUGCCCCUUGUCACCUCCAUGUUUUUAAUACCCAGACAGGAAGUGAUAUUCCUGUAUUUCUUUGCCACCUGGUCUCAGGGGAACAGCCCGGCCCGCUUCCAAACCAGGAGUAAUUGAUAUGUUCUGUCUGCUUUGUCCUGUACCAACAUUCAUGGUAAUGUGCUGUAUAUUGCAGUAUGUUCCUCCAUUUUACGACACAAGGAGCCGUCACCAAGUUCCCAAACACAACAUGUGAUAUAAAAAAUGGACUGGCUCAACUUUUUACUCUUGUCUCUUUUUGUUGUUUUUUUAAAUAAAAAAAUAUUUAAAAAAAUAAAAGUUUUCCUCAUA